AGCCUCGAAGUGUUUCACGUCAAAAUGCAAGUUUGAAAAAGAGCCCCAAUAGGGCUCCGGGGCUU
RNAcentral lists this transfer RNA (65 nucleotides) under Anolis noblei. RNAcentral describes it as "tRNA-Cys". The record is from RNAcentral. Lineage: Eukaryota; Metazoa; Chordata; Lepidosauria; Squamata; Anolidae.